GGAUUGUGGCUCAGUGGUGGAGCGCUUGCCUCGCAUGCAUGGGGCCCUGUGUUCGAUCCUUACCACCA
This 68-nucleotide transfer RNA is filed under the name Marmota monax (woodchuck). Its description in RNAcentral is "tRNA.Ala". Lineage: Eukaryota; Metazoa; Chordata; Mammalia; Rodentia; Sciuridae. The record is from RNAcentral.